This 492-nucleotide ribosomal RNA is filed under the name uncultured bacterium. RNAcentral's name for it is "partial 16S ribosomal RNA". It matches the Rfam family "Bacterial small subunit ribosomal RNA", at positions 28 to 507 of the family's 1533-position model. The record is from RNAcentral.
GAUGGACGCUAGCUACAGGCUUAACACAUGCAAGUCGAGGGGAAACGACAUCGAAAGCUUGCUUUUGAUGGGCGUCGACCGGCGCACGGGUGAGUAACGCGUAUCCAACCUGCCCAUCACUUGGGAAUAACCUUGCGAAAGUAAGACUAAUACCCAAUGACAUCCCACGAAGACAUCUGAAUGGGAUUAAAGAUUUAUCGGUGAUGGAUGGGGAUGCGUCUGAUUAGCUUGUUGGCGGGGUAACGGCCCACCAAGGCAACGAUCAGUAGGGGUUCUGAGAGGAAGGUCCCCCACAUUGGAACUGAGACACGGUCCAAACUCCUACGGGAGGCAGCAGUGAGGAAUAUUGGUCAAUGGGCGAGAGCCUGAACCAGCCAAGUAGCGUGCAGGAUGACGGCCCUAUGGGUUGUAAACUGCUUUUAUAAGGGAAUAAAGUGGGUCUCGUGAGACUUUUUGCAUGUACCUUAUGAAUAAGGACCGGCUAAUUCCGUG